AUCCAACUGACGAGUCCUAGAUAGGACGAAAAGCGUAUCCUGAAU
Molecule: non-coding RNA, 45 nt
Organism: Schistosoma haematobium
Lineage: Eukaryota; Metazoa; Platyhelminthes; Trematoda; Strigeidida; Schistosomatidae
Source: Rfam